AGUGAACGCUGGCGGCAGGCCUAACACAUGCAAGUCGAGCGGCAGCGCGGGGGCAACCCUGGCGGCGAGCGGCGGACGGGUGAGGAAUUCGUCGGAAUCUGCCUUUUUGUGGGGGAUAACGUAGGGAAACUUACGCUAAUACCGCAUACGUCCUACGGGAGAAAGUGGGGGACCGCAAGGCCUCACGCAGAAAGAUGAGCCGACGACCGAUUAGCUAGUUGGUGGGGUAAAGGCCCACCAAGGCGACGAUCGGUAGCUGGUCUGAGAGGAUGAUCAGCCACACUGGGACUGAGACACGGCCCAGACUCCUACGGGAGGCAGCAGUGGGGAAUAUUGGACAAGGGGCGCAAGCCUGAUCCAGCCAUGCCGCGUGUGUGAAGAAGGCCUUCGGGUUGUAAAGCACUUCUGUCCGGAAAGAAAUCCCUGGAGCUAAUACCUUCGGGGGAUGACGGUACCGGAAGAAUAAGCACCGGCUAACUUCGUG
This 484-nucleotide ribosomal RNA is filed under the name uncultured bacterium. RNAcentral's name for it is "partial 16S ribosomal RNA". It matches the Rfam family "Bacterial small subunit ribosomal RNA", at positions 30 to 507 of the family's 1533-position model. The record is from RNAcentral.